This is a long non-coding RNA of Taeniopygia guttata (zebra finch), 1812 nucleotides long. RefSeq lists it as uncharacterized. The record is from RefSeq and is a predicted model, not a curated record. Lineage: Eukaryota; Metazoa; Chordata; Aves; Passeriformes; Estrildidae.
UUUUUUUUUUUUUUUUCCAGAGAGAUUCCUAUAAAUAAACAUAUUUACAAUGAUUGUGAUUGUAGGACUGAGCUUUGGGAUAAAACAGAGGAUUUCAGCUCUUGCUUUAUUUUAUGCCAGCAGUUUGAAAAAGAAGCAGCUCAAAAUCAUUCUGACAUACUGCUACUGAAUGAGUAUUCUGCCCAUCUAUGCUGUCGAGCUAUCUAAAAUUAUAAUAAAUAAAUAAAUAAAUAAAUAAAUAACAAAAAAACCCUUUUGAUUUAAAAAGCAAGGAGUUCUUUAAGGGUUAGAUGUUUGUGUGUUGAACAGGUCUUAAAUACUUUCGGAGCAACAGGAUGUUCACAUGACCUCUUUUCAUGAGGAUGCACAAGACAAGCUAAAUAAAUGAACCUUGUGGGGCUUUAACAACAUGAUGCUACUACUCAGGGAAUUCAGGUUAGCUAACAUAUGUUUCAAAUCCAAAGAAUAUUCCAUACAGCCACUACAGAACUUAAAUCACAGCAGUAUUCCUGACCUCAAGUAAUUUGCCCAGCUCCUUGGCAAAUGUGUCAUAAUGGCUGUGGCUGAUGUUUCACACUUCGCGCUGUACAUCAAUAGAAAUGCAUAUUCAGGGUUAGGCACUGGGUGGUGCUGAAGAGCUAGUUAGUAGGAAAAUGUAUUUGUGCGGCUCUUCAACUGACUAAUAUUCGCCUUUUCUUGCAGCCAAUGGAACAGGAUUUGCUCUUCAAAAUAAUUCUUCUGGAUCCCUAGACCUAAUCAGAGGUGUGUAAAGAAAAGGAGAUGUGAUGCAGUCUGACUCCUGAAUGAGAUUUGGAGAGCACAGAAUAGACAAAGUUGCAACUUCUCCAAAUAUGCAUAGGACUUGCAUGCUGGCAAUUAGCUGCUAACAUUGGCAUUCGUCACCAGCACCAGAGUGAAGCCACCCAGAGGAGCAGAGGAAGGUGAACAUAACUGCAAAAAAACAGGAAUGUUUGAAUAAUAUGGACCUGAACAACAGAAAUAUCAAGGAAUGGAUAUUGUCAGCAAUUACUAUGAUAGAACUUACCCAGCAAAAGACAAAUAUAUUCCUCUGUUCUCUCUGUGUAGAGAUAAGAUUACCUCAUCCCCACACUUUGUCUCUCAUAUCCAUCAGCUCUAACAUUCAUCCAUCUUUGAGAAUGCAAGUCUGUGAACAGAGAUCCCCUUCCUUGUGCAGACAUGUACAGAAACCAUAGGAGGACUCGGCCUUGCAAGGCAAAGGAUCAAAUCUGCCCUUGAGGCAAUCCUGAGGUAUUCUGGGAAGGUGUGUGUCCUGAUUUUACCUGAGAUUAAUUUAUUUUUCCCCAGUAGCUGCUAAAGUGCUGUGUUAUUUAUUUAGUAUAUACAGAGAAAAUCAUGCUGAUGACACACUGGUAGCUGUUUUUGGUAGUUUCUCAGUAGUGCUUGCUCUAAAUAAAGCUUUUUGCACUGUCUCAUGCUCUGCCAGUGAGCAGGUGCACAAGAACCUGAAGGAAAGCACAGCCAGGACAGCUGGCCUGCCCUGGCCAAGGGGAUAGUCCACACCACAGAAUGUCAUGCUCCCUAUAAAUUGGGGAGAGCUGGCUGGGAGCUGCUAUUGCUGUUCAGGGAUGGUCUGAGUCUCCGUCAGUGGGUGGUGAGCAAUUGUGUUAUGUAUCACUUGUGUUUCUACAAGAAAAACAAGAGAGGAGGGUUUGGCUCCUCUCUCCUCUCCUUUUCAUUACAAUUAUUAGUAGUUACUAACUCAAAUAUUAGUACCUAAAAUAUAUUAGGUAAUGUAUUUUAUUUUGUUUUAAUUAUUAAACUGGUAUUAUC